UACGGGGGGGGUAAGCGUUGUUCGGAAUUACUGGGCGUAAAGGGCUCGUAGGCGGCCAACUAAGUCAGACGUGAAAUCCCUCAGCUUAACUGGGGAACUGCGUCUGAUACUGGAUGGCUUGGAUUCGGGAGAGGAAUGCGGAAUUCCAGGUGUAGCGGUGAAAUGCGUAGAUAUCUGGAGGAACACCGGUGGCGAAGGCGGCUCUCUGGAACGCAACUGACGCUGAGACGCGAAAGCGUGGGGAGCAAACAGG
Molecule: ribosomal RNA, 253 nt
Filed under: uncultured bacterium
Lineage: Bacteria
Description: partial 16S ribosomal RNA
Rfam family: Bacterial small subunit ribosomal RNA
Source: RNAcentral